Molecule: transfer RNA, 67 nt
Filed under: Melanophila acuminata
Lineage: Eukaryota; Metazoa; Arthropoda; Insecta; Coleoptera; Buprestidae
Description: tRNA-Arg
Source: RNAcentral
AAAUAAGAAGCAAAUAAAUUUGUAAUUAGUUUCGACCUAAUCUUAGAUGUUAAUUCAUCCUUAUUUA